UACCCAGGGCGCGGUCGGCGCGUCAGGCUUUUCGCUCCGCGUCCUGGAGGUUAAGUUUGCAAACGGCUGCGGCGUGGGCAACGUUUUUCUUUUUUUUUCAAACUGUUUAUGCUGAGAUUGAGGGAGCCUUUUUGUCACACAAGUUCAACACGUUCUACGCUGCCGCUGGUCUCAAACUAGCAAGGUCAAGCGGCGAUUUUUGGCCCAUUUGUUCGGAACCUAUUUGUUCUUUCCCACUCUGCUGCUUUUCGCUUUUUCCCUUCUCUCGGACGGGCUGCAGCCUUCUGGAGCUGACUCAGGCGAGAGGCGUCCAGACUCAAAUAGGGGUCACACAUGCUGCCGGGAGAGGCCUCUGCAUAAAAAUGCUCUUUAAAAAUUUUAAAAAGCAGCAUAAUAGCCAAUGGACUUAGCAAAGCGUGACCUGCCCAGGCCGCUCGGAGGGCAGGCCUGGCAGUCAUCUGUGUCUGGACCACCAGUCAACGUCCGGGACGUACCUGUUCGCUGACGUAUUAGCAAACGUUUCAAGGAUGUGGCUGUCAGCUGUCAUUAGCCCACGCGUUUUACCGGGAGGAGGGCACGUCCAGGGCGUGUUUGCGUACAAUAUUCUGGGGAGGUCAGAAUCUGACCUCUGGAACAGUCAAAUGUUCCUUCUUGUACAGACAUUUAUCAAAUGACUGGAGAAAAGCUGGCACGUGAGCACUGGGGUACAGAGGCGUGGAAGGGACGCUUGCAAGUCUUUGGGGAAACUCGGACCCAAAUCGGACACAAGUCACCCCAAUGAGUUCUAGCGCUCCCUGCGUGAACCAUCAGGUCCUGAACGCUAGAACCUGGCGUCCGGAUGCGCAAGUAGAGGCCGGGCAGCUCGGAAACACCUGAUGACCUGGAAGCGCCGGUGGCUGUUCAAGUGGGCAAAGUAAAUGAUAGAUUUCUUCUUGAAUUGAAGUGGAAACAAAGGCCCACUUCUAGCCAAUCAAAGAGCCACCCUUCACCCCAGGAAGAGAAGGUACCUGGACACCCUCAUCAUCUCUAACCAACAGAAGUUACUGCGUGGCAGGAGGAAACCAUCAGGUGUCUCCUGGGCCCAUAACAGAAUCUGCCUGCUCUUCCUGAGCAGAAUUCAAGAUUCUCUGUUCUCCCGGGCCAUAGCCACUAAGUGGGGAAGCUGAGGCAUUUCUACUCCUCAGAUCAGAGAGUGACCACCGAAGUUGCGAAGUUCCAGUGUGAACUUGAUUGUCUAUUGAUACUGAGACGUGACUGUAAUAAUCUGAACGCAAUUUCUGCAAGGAUGCUCUUCUGACCUGAGGCUUCUGGGAAGAUGGCGGAAGAGUAAGACGCGGAGAUCACCUGCCUCCCCACAGAUACACCAGAAAUACAUCUACACGUGGAACAACUCCUACAGAACACCUACUGAACGCUGGCAGAAGACCUCAGACCUCCCAAAAGGCAAGAACCCCCCCCCGCCACGUACCUGGGUAGGGCAAAAGUAAAAACAGAGACAAAAGGAUAGGGACGGGACCUGCACCAGUGGGAGGCAACUGUGAAGGAGGAAAAGUUUCCACACACUAGGAAGCCCCUUCGCAGGCGGAGACUGCGGCUGCGGAGGGGGAAAGCUUUGGUGCUGCGGCAGAGAGCACAGCAACAGGGGUGCGGGGGGCAAAGCAGGGAGAUUCCCGCACAGAGGAUCAGGGCCGACCGGCACUCACCAGCCCGAGAGGCUUGUCUGCUCCCCCGCCGCGGCGGGCGGGGCUGGGAGCUGAGGCUCGGACUUCGGUCGGAGCGCAGUGAGAGGGCUGGGGUUCGCGGCGUGAACACAGCCUGCAGGGGGUUAGUGCGCCACGGCUAGCCGGAGGGAGUCCGGGGAAAAGUCUGGACCUGCCGAAGAGGCAAGAGACUUUUUCUUACCUCCUUCCUGGUGCGCGAGGAGAGGGGAUUCAGAGCGCUGCUUAAAGGAGCUCCAGAGAUGGGCGCGAGCCGCGGCUAAAAGCGCAGACCCAGAGACAGGCAUGAGACGCUAAGGCUGCUGCUGCCGCCAACAAGAAGCCUGUGUGUGAGCACAGGUUACUAUCCACACCCCGCUUCCGGAGAGCCUGUGCAGCCCGCCACUGCCAAGGUCUCGGGAUCCAGGUACAACUUC
Molecule: non-coding RNA, 2134 nt
Organism: Globicephala melas (long-finned pilot whale)
Lineage: Eukaryota; Metazoa; Chordata; Mammalia; Artiodactyla; Delphinidae
Source: RefSeq, a predicted model, not a curated record